Molecule: non-coding RNA, 582 nt
Organism: Esox lucius (northern pike)
Lineage: Eukaryota; Metazoa; Chordata; Actinopteri; Esociformes; Esocidae
Source: the annotation of a RefSeq genome assembly
AUGGGCCAGAGGGGCCUGCGGGCGGGCCGUGAGGUCCAGGGGGGUGGGGGCGCAAUAGCUGCUUUCUCCACCAGCGGGGCCAGACUGUGGGCAGGGCAUUGCGUGUUGGUCGCUUUGACACUGGGCCAUAGGCUAGAAGCGGAGUUCCAGAUUCUCCAAAGGAAGCGCAGCCCACAGACGUCUGGAGACGUGUCCCAGUCAUUUGGUCUGGAGCCAGACAUGCAGUCGUCCCGUCUCCUCUUCCUCAUGGCGCUUCAGUGGAAGUGCCUUGAGACCACGUCUAUCAUCCAGACCCCCCUGAGCCUGGUUCUUCAUCCUGGCUCCCCUGUUAAAAUUACCUGCAAUACAACCAUACACAGCAACCCAAAUCUGUACUGGUACCGCUGGACUCCUGAAGGCGGGUUUAGGGUUGUGUUCAGCUCCUUGGUAGAAGGGAAUAUGGACCCAGCCAGUGUAGAUGGGUUCAGAGCUAGUAGACCAAAUGCUUUAGAGAUUAUCCUGGAGUCAGAUGGAGUGGCUCUGGAGGAGCGGUCCGCUGUCUGGGUUGUCUGGUACUGUGCUGCCAGCAUCCACAAGACCUGA